CUCUCUUUCGCGCUAUUUUCUUUUCCUGAGAGUUACAAUAUGGAAAUCAACUGCCUUAAUCUACACUCUCAUUUCCAAUUUUUCUUCGUCGUGAUUUUGUAUAAACGGAUCACAGACACGGCGCGCGGACCUUCGGUUCUAGGACGAGGCUCGUAGCUCUUGUUCCGCAAGAGGUUUCUCCGUAGAAAUUGCAAUGGCGACACACUUGGCGUGUUCAAAUCUCUAUAUGCUCUUCGAUACGAUAAAACGCGGUCUGGAGCUCUCGCAAUCUGCUAAUAUAUUACGCAUCAUCCGUUGUAAUGAUAUUUGGAGGUCUAUAGUGCAAUAUCUCGAGUAUAUUAUUGUUCGCAAUGACUGUUGCUGAUUUUAGACGAUGACUAUUUCAUCUUUGGCGCUGUUUUUGGCGAUAAACGAGUCAUGCUUACCGCUAAGAUUACCGUUUAAGCUAUACAAUGCACGCGGAGGUGGUUUGUCUCUGCAAUUUGAAGUGCAAGGAUGUUGGGAGUCUAAUAAUCAACGAAGCUUUGGACCUACAGGUGGUAAGGGUAAGAGGAUAUGUUACAAUGAUUACAUUACUUGACCCAAAAAA
Molecule: long non-coding RNA, 589 nt
Organism: Cucurbita moschata (crookneck pumpkin)
Lineage: Eukaryota; Viridiplantae; Streptophyta; Magnoliopsida; Cucurbitales; Cucurbitaceae
Exons: 5
Source: RefSeq, a predicted model, not a curated record